RNAcentral lists this long non-coding RNA (1695 nucleotides) under Homo sapiens (human). RNAcentral's name for it is "HSALNT0344543". The record is from RNAcentral. Lineage: Eukaryota; Metazoa; Chordata; Mammalia; Primates; Hominidae.
CCCCACUCCGCAUCCCUGGGCUCGGGUUUGCCUUGCUGACCUCUGCUGCCACCUGGUGCCACACAGAGAAACUGAGGAGAAACCACAUCAGUCUCCUUCAGCCUCAGCUUCACAUCUGUGGGUCAAGUAACCCUUUCAGAAGCUGAAUAAUGUGGGAAAGCUUUCCUCUCAGGAAAAUGCACACAUCCAACUUUGAGAAGAUGCCCUUGGGGGUGCUUCAAGGAUCCUAGAUAAAGAACCCCCUUUCCCGAACAUCCAAGAACCUAAGUUUUUUUUUUUUUUUUUGAGAAAGUCUCGCUCUCUCUCCCAGUCUGGAGUGCAGUGGCGUGAUCUUGGCUCACUGCAAGCUCCACCUCCCAGGUUCACGCCAUUCUCCUGCCUCAGCCUCCCGAGUAGCUGGGGCUACAGGCACCUGCCACCAAACCCGGCUAAUUUUUUUGUAUUUUUAGUAGAGACGGGGUUUCACCGUGUUAGCCAGGAUCGUCUUGAUCUCCUGACCUUGUGAUCCACCCGCCUCGGCCUCCCAAAUUGCUGGGAUUACAGAUGUGAGCCACCGCACCUGGUCCAAGAACCCAAGUUUUAGAUCUAGAGUGAUGUCAGCAUGACAUUGAUUUCCUGAGGCCCAGGGGCGAAGGAGCUGAGGACAGCAGAGGGGUGAAGGAACUCAGCUACAGACAGCAGCAGCUGAUGCACAGGGCUCCCAGCGCCUGAAGUCACCCGGAAUUGGGAAGUGCUCAGAAGCUUACAAAGCUGCCUCGAGUAACAGACAAUGCACAAAGCUACUUCCUUAUGGACGGAAAUUCUGAAAUCCUUUUAUGCCUGGCCUUUCCAUCCUUCAACUUCCCCUCUCCCAUGCUGUGAGUGAUUGUAUUGGACAUUUUUGUUUUAAUCUCAGUGACAGGGGAACACAGAUAGCUCUAAUAUAGCUGUGACCCAGAUGCUUCUGUUUCUAGCAUGUAUUAAUUUUGCAGCAAACAUUACAUCCAUAAUUUUUCACUGUCCUUUGAAAAUAAUUAGGCAAUAUCUCAUCUGAGGUAGGAUGUUUCUAGGGGUUGUGUUCUGAGUGAGAAAAACUAAUCUGUUCUCUUUCCACUGCAUUCUAGGAACAGUAAGAGGACCUUGUGCAUGAAUAAUUUGUUUCCACACUGCAGAGUGGGUAAUAAGCAGAUUAGUAAAAACAAUUCUGCUUCACUUCAAUAACAGCCUCCUCCAACUCAUUUUUUCUCAACAAACUUAUUUUUGCAGCAGAAGAAUCCCAGACUUCUUAGAGAACCCAGUGACUUUUUGCACCUUAAAUCUGUGAAAUCCUCAUGCUUUCUUCUGCCGUAUCCAUCGUUCAAACAAACAUGAGGCAAAGCUAGACACAUUCCUGAAGGAACCCAAGAAAUUCCUCUCUUUCUCUCUCUGGAAUGAAAUGAAUUCUCUAGACCACCAGUUCUAACCUUCAAAAACCAAACCUGUUUGUGAGAUCUCCUUCAAAUACUACUGUAGACCCCAGUGUUUAUUCAUUAAAUUUUUUAAAUAUUUGUUUUAUUUGGAAUCAAAGUAUUUGUAAUUUUAGUAUUUGUAUUAAUAUAAGGGAGAAAUGUUUAAAUCUGUCUAUGCCACAUGUGCCUUCGGCUUAUUGCCCAAUUAAUUGUAGCCUCAGGCUAAACUUUGGUUUCUGUCUUUAAUUUUUGUCGGAAGAAAUAUAAC